GUCUAUGGCCAUGCCACCCAGAACGGGCCUGGUCUCGUCUGAUCUCAGAAGCUAAGCAGGGUUGGGCCUGGUUAGUGCUUGGAUGGGAGACCACCUAGGAAGACCAGGUGCCGUGAGCA
RNAcentral lists this ribosomal RNA (119 nucleotides) under Pteropus alecto (black flying fox). The record is from RNAcentral. Lineage: Eukaryota; Metazoa; Chordata; Mammalia; Chiroptera; Pteropodidae.